UGCAGAAGAAGCACCGGCUAACUACGUGCCAGCAGCCGCGGUAAUACGUAGGGUGCGAGCGUUAUCCGGAAUUAUUGGGCGUAAAGAGCUCGUAGGCGGUUUGUCGCGUCUGUCGUGAAAGUCCGGGGCUUAACCCCGGAUCUGCGGUGGGUACGGGCAGACUAGAGUGCAGUAGGGGAGACUGGAAUUCCUGGUGUAGCGGUGGAAUGCGCAGAUAUCAGGAGGAACACCGAUGGCGAAGGCAGGUCUCUGGGCUGUAACUGACGCUGAGGAGCGAAAGCAUGGGGAGCGAACAGGAUUAGAUACCCUGGUAGUCCAUGCCGUAAACGUUGGGCACUAGGUGUGGGGACCAUUCCACGGUUUCCGCGCCGCAGCUAACGCAUUAAGUGCCCCGCCUGGGGAGUACGGCCGCAAGGCUAAAACUCAAAGGAAUUGACGGGGGCCCGCACAAGCGGCGGAGCAUGCGGAUUAAUUCGAUGCAACGCGAAGAACCUUACCAAGGCUUGACAUGUUCUCGAUCGCCGUAGAGAUACGGUUUCCCCUUUGGGGCGGGUUCACAGGUGGUGCAUGGUUGUCGUCAGCUCGUGUCGUGAGAUGUUGGGUUAAGUCCCGCAACGAGCGCAACCCUCGUUCCAUGUUGCCAGCACGUCGUGGUGGGGACUCAUGGGAGACUGCCGGGGUCAACUCGGAGGAAGGUGAGGACGACGUCAAAUCAUCAUGCCCCUUAUGUCUUGGGCUUCACGCAUGCUACAAUGGCCGGUACAAUGGGUUGCGAUACUGUGAGGUGGAGCUAAUCCCAAAAAGCCGGUCUCAGUUCGGAUUGGGGUCUGCAACUCGACCCCAUGAAGUCGGAGUCGCUAGUAAUCGCAGAUCAGCAACGCUGCGGUGAAUACGUUCCCGGGCCUUGUACACACCGCCCGUCAAGUCACGAAAGUCGGUAACACCCGAAGCCGGUGGCCUAACCCUUGUGGGGGGA
Molecule: ribosomal RNA, 976 nt
Filed under: Micrococcus sp.
Lineage: Bacteria; Bacillati; Actinomycetota; Actinomycetes; Micrococcales; Micrococcaceae
Description: bacterial SSU rRNA
Rfam family: Bacterial small subunit ribosomal RNA
Source: RNAcentral